CGGCAUUGAGUUCCACCGGGUGAUUCACCGUCUGCGCGUCUCCAUCACUAUACGCUCUUUGCAUUUGCCUCGUUUUCGCCCGCCUCCCUGAGCGCGUACAACCCUGGAAGCUGCUGGAUAUGCGCAUGGCCGCCAAUCUGUGUCGUUUAUGGGUCACAGCAUCCUUUUAGGAAGCCUACACCGGAGGAUACAAUCGGACAACGCAAUAGCGUAGCCCACCUUACCGGUGUUCGACUAACAUUUUACCAGGUAGACUUUCAAGGAAUAAUUCUAAUUUUCUUUAUUUAAUCAAACGUUGUAAUCGCCAACUGGGUGAUUUUUCUGCAUUGAAACACAUACAGUAUGGCCAGUAUUUGUCUAUGAAAUGAUACGUGUGGUGUGCGGUCCUGCGCCUCAUCGGAUACCUGACUGAUUUUACAGGGCGUGGUGUUCAUAAAUGGUCUAUUACCUACAGAAAUUGUCUAUUUUAUUGAAAGUCUGCCCUUGGGCCCACCCAUGUAGAGCAGAGCUCCAAGGUGCUUUGUAAUUUCACCAAGCUGACUACCACAGUGUAGGUUCAAGACCAAGCUAACCAUCAUAGUCCAGGUUUAAGUCUUGACUUGGCUAACUGAUGACUGGCUGUGAAGCCCCAUUGACCCGGGAUGAUAUUAGCUAGCUAAUGUCGUCACAAGGGGGAGUGUACCCUCACUCGUAUGACCCACACAAUGUUUUUGUUGGAGCAGUGUGAGAAAGAAGAACGGAACGAGGGCUAUGAGGAAGGCAUGCCAGUCAUCAACACUCCCAUAACUGUUGUGAAGUUAAUGCAAUGACACUAGGCUGGUUGACUAUUGGAUAUGAGAAAAUUUGGGGCAAAAAAGGGUACAACAAACAAAGUUGAUCAUUCCAUACGCAUUUCCCAACCCUUGGUGCCUGUUUAACUAUUUUGAAAAGCCUUCUUCCUUCCAUAAUAAAUUAUAUGACAUGAAUAGAUGUCAUGUAAAGACUGUACAAAGAACCAUAAAAAAUGUACGUAUGGCCUAGUAGAACUAGUACUUUCUUA
Long non-coding RNA from Esox lucius (northern pike), 1039 nucleotides. The record is from Ensembl. NCBI's taxonomy places the organism in Eukaryota, Metazoa, Chordata, Actinopteri, Esociformes, Esocidae.